GUAAAGAUUUUAAGGGCGUACGGUGGAUGCCUUGGCGAUAUCAGCCGAAGAAGGACGCGGUAAGCUGCGAAAAGCUACGGAGAGGUGCAAGCAACCUUUGACCCGUAGAUAUCCGAAUGGGGGAACCCGGCAGUGGUUAUGCACUGUCACCUAUAGCUUAGACUAUGAGGAGGGCACCCGGGGAACUGAAACAUCUAAUUACCCGGAGGAAGAGUAAUCAAACGAGAUUUUCUUAGUAGCGGCGAGCGAACGGGAAAGAGGCCAAACCGGAGCGGGCAACCGCACCGGGGUUGAGGACAGUCAUCAAGUGUACAUGAGGUAGAAGAAUGGAGCUGGAACGCUCAGCCGUAGAAGGUGAAAGCCCUGUAAUCGAAACCUUGCAUGCACGGGACUGUAUCCGGAGUACCACGAGA
Molecule: ribosomal RNA, 413 nt
Filed under: Veillonella denticariosi JCM 15641
Lineage: Bacteria; Bacillati; Bacillota; Negativicutes; Veillonellales; Veillonellaceae
Description: bacterial LSU rRNA
Rfam family: Bacterial large subunit ribosomal RNA
Source: RNAcentral